This 497-nucleotide ribosomal RNA is filed under the name uncultured bacterium. RNAcentral's name for it is "partial 16S ribosomal RNA". It matches the Rfam family "Bacterial small subunit ribosomal RNA", at positions 28 to 507 of the family's 1533-position model. The record is from RNAcentral.
GACGAACGCUGGCGGCGUGCCUAAUACAUGCAAGUUGAGCGCUGAAGGUUGGUACUUGUACCAACUGGAUGAGCAGCGAACGGGUGAGUAACGCGUGGGGAAUCUGCCUUUGAGCGGGGGACAACAUUUGGAAACGAAUGCUAAUACCGCAUAAAAACUUUAAACACAAGUUUUAAGAUUGAAAGAUGCAAUUGCAUCACUCAAAGAUGAUCCCGCGUUGUAUUAGCUAGUUGGUGAGGUAAAGGCUCACCAAGGCGAUGAUACAUAGCCGACCUGGGAGGGUGAUCGGCCACAUUGGGACUGAGACACGGCCCAAACUCCUACGGGAGGCAGCAGUAGGGAAUCUUCGGCAAUGGACGAAAGUCUGACCGAGCAACGCCGCGUGAGUGAAGAAGGUUUUCGGAUCGUAAAACUCUGUUGGUAGAGAAGAACGUUGGUGAGAGUGGAAAGCUCAUCAAGUGACGGUAACUACCCAGAAAGGGACGGCUAACUACGUG